This is a long non-coding RNA of Sander lucioperca (pikeperch), 2757 nucleotides long. RefSeq lists it as uncharacterized. The transcript has 2 exons. The record is from RefSeq and is a predicted model, not a curated record. NCBI's taxonomy places the organism in Eukaryota, Metazoa, Chordata, Actinopteri, Perciformes, Percidae.
ACCCCCCAUCUUCCAGCACCGUCCCUGUUCCCUGCUUUCUGCUGCUCCCCACCACCUCACAGCUGUAACAAAGGCUUGGUCCCACCUGCCCAAUGAGGGUUGCAUUGGCUGCACAACCAACAGUCUAGCAUGGUCUCCUCUCCUUUCCCUCACUAAUAUUCAAAUAAGUGAUUUUUGGAAUGACUCAUACAUCAUGGGAAUCAGAUAUGUUUCAAAUGAUCUGAUGCCCAAAACUAUAAACAAUGUAUUUGAAAUGAAGGAGAUAGGAGAAGGAAGCAUAUUAAGACUGUUUGGAGCACCGUUUGUCCACACCGCAAUCAUUCGGCCAGCUUGCUGUACAUCACCAGCUAAUCACCCUGCUGCCACAUGCUUAACUAUGCCUUUCACUUAACUCUUUUAUCAAGAGCAAAUUAUCCUGAGGGCAUUUUCAGUACGAGUAGCCUCAGUAGGAACUGAACGCCUCACCUGCACUGCAUCAGUGCCAUGAUCAACCUAAGCUAUACUCUCUUCUUGUCACAAGAAGACAGAAAAUUGCUCAGCUUGCAUCGUGUGUUUUGCAGUUUCACAACGCAAACGGUUCACAUCUCUCCAUCAGGCAUGCAGGGAACAGUCGCAACCCACCGCCACUUCAGAUAGAUGAGAAGCAAUUAGGAUUAUUUUCUUAUUGAUGCAAAAGCUUUCUAUGAGGGUAAAUUGUGUGUGUGUGUGUGUGUGUGUGUGUGUGUGUGUGUGUGUGUGUGUGUGUGUGUGUAAGUGUGCAUGUACAUGUCAUGUGACUGCUACGCAACAAUCAUUCUUCCCUUCUCAAUGUUUCACACCCGAACUAACCUCAAACUAUUUCUCUCGAGCUGUGUCCACAUCCAACUGGCAUGUACAUUUAAAGGAUAGGUUCUGUUUGAAACAAUACUCACAGGCCCAUCCAGUUUGUACAUUGAAACUGUUUUCUGGUUGUCUAUACUUCCAGUCCCCCAGAUGGGGGACAAAAUCCACAGGAAUUUCGUACUAAACAGUCUAACUUUGGAAGAAGAUACCCACUUGAUUUGUCUAACUCAGACUGCUGAAGCCACAUAUCAGCUUCAGCUGAACUUCAUAAUGUAUUUUUGCACGGACAGAGGAUUGUGGAUUUUGUCCUCCAUGUCUUACAUUAGAGUCGCAAUAGUAAGGACACCAGUAAUAAUUACUGCAACCAGUAACUUUCAAUGUACUGUACAUAUGUGAGUAUUGUUUUAAACAUGCUUGAAGAAAUUUGGCCCUAUUCUUUAAUGCAAACUUGUAAAUAAAUGAUUUAUUAUUACAAAAUAAUUAGGUUUAUUUUAUCAGGGUAACUUCACAACUUCACUGAACUUAAUGCCAGAAAAAAAAUGGAAAAAUAGUGUGGCAAGUUCCAUUUCCUUUAAGAGGAGUUGUUUUGAUCCAAAGAUGAAAACUAAGAAGUAUGAAAUAAAUAUAUAUGCAUCAGUUGUGUUUGAGAACACAUUUUUGACACCUGUAUACUGUGUAUGACAUUUCUCGAAGGCUGAAGUGGACAGAUAGUUCAAUAUGUGAUCAUACACAGAAAAUUGCUUUUUUGGAAGACCAGUUUGGCAAACCUCCACAUUCCGACUACUUUAACUAUUUUACACAUUCAAAUUAAACAUCAUAUAUUCAGGCCAAUUUGGCUCCUUUGAACUAAUUACCUAAAUAUCGGCACCAUCUCUUGUGCAUGUACACACACACACACACAUGCAUAACGCAUACAAUGGCAGAGCUCUUGGCAGCCUUUGGCACACGUCAAAGUAGGUCUGUUGGCCGGGGUCUUUGCGGUCUCCAUUGUUGACCACACCUGCCCGCUCUUGUUGAAGCAUCCUUCCUCUGUUGAGUGCCCUCAUCAGGUGUGUCAACAGCCACAUGGGUCUUAGCAAAGUCCUUCAGUCUGUGUGGGCAGAUGAGAGGAAGUAGCCAAAUAGCUUCACUAAUGACUUUCUUGUUAAGCCUGGAAUUACUGUCACUACCCAAAGACAAUUUUCCCAUGAUGACAAAAGUUUCAGAUUCUAUUAACUUUCAUCUGUCUGAGAAGUGUGGCAGUAAUUAGGGUUAAUAGGGGUGUUGAGCUGAAUGUGGGCUGCAGAUAACCUUCAAGCCUCUUUGUACCUCUUGGUUUAUGAUUGCGUCAGCUAUCGCGGCAGUCUUCCUCUCCAUCCUUAGUCAUGGCAUUUUGUUUUGUCUGGCCUCUUUCUAAUUCGCUGUGACAGUUGCAUCUCGAUAGAGGACUUAGGAGGAGCUUAGGAGAAGCAUGGAAGGCAUGUCAGUAAAAACAGUGGUAGAUUGUAGCUGUGCAUGUAAGGAGCAGAGCAGGAGAGUAUCUUUCUGUCUCCCUGUCAACUGAUGGAUUGAAGCAAAGCACAAGUGCAUUGACAAGACUCCUACUGGCUUUCAAGCAUGCACGCUGUUGCCAAGAUCUUCAUGAUCAAAAGGAGGACGAACCUGGAAGAUACCGAAUGAGAGUCCAAUUAAAUAUAGCCUGCAGAGACAACAGCCGCUUGGACGUGAGAAGCCCUCCCACCCCACCCCUUGCCACUACCAGCAUCGUGAUGCUUUCUAUGAGCAGAAUAUUCUCAAAGUGAAUAGCAGAGGAUCUCUGAAGAACAUACACUCGGGCCCCAAAUGAAUGUUCAAUAUUUGAUUUUCUUUCUUUUUUUGACUGCCAUUUCCAUGCCUGGGCUUGGGGGUUUCAGUGAAAGCCUUAUGGAAAUGAACGGGAGAAAGAAAAAAAAAAAA